This is a long non-coding RNA of Drosophila willistoni, 711 nucleotides long. RefSeq lists it as uncharacterized. NCBI's taxonomy places the organism in Eukaryota, Metazoa, Arthropoda, Insecta, Diptera, Drosophilidae. The transcript is spliced from 3 exons. The record is from RefSeq and is a predicted model, not a curated record.
CAAAGUGAGUAUUCGGCCGACCAAAAUGGAUUCGCUCAGCCGAAAUGAAUUCGCUCGACCGAAGUGAAUUCGCUCGACUCAAUGUUCGCUUCAAACCACCACGAAGCCGCAAACCACCACGAACCAACACCGUACGAAUGAGCGAACCCAGAGAGAGAGGGAGAGAGCGUUAUGAAGGGUAUAAUAAACAGUAUAACAAUUUAGAAUUGCAAUAUGUAACGCAACUGUCGGGGCUGUAUAAGGAGCAGCCAUAAAGGAUCAUUGCUCUACGCAGGAAUUACGACGUCCCGUCUAUAGCGAUGACGACAACAGAGAAGAGGAAGACGACAGCAGGCAACGGUAGACAGAGCAUCUUUCAGAUGCAGGAAUAAAGCAGAUGGAAUAUCCACACUGUGUUAAUGGAUUUUACAACAUUGAAUGAAAUAUUUUAAAAAUAAUUAAUAAUUACAAUGUUUAUUAACUAAAAUUCACCAAAACACCUAUGUAGGCCUGUUCUCGUUUUCGUUUUAAUCAUUUUUUUUUGUUAUCAAACUGUUUCUUAACUUUUUCCUCAUAAAUAUUUGAAUUUCAAUAGAUUGCAAAUUAAACCGAAUUAUACAAGUUAGAAACCUUCACUUUUUCUAUGUAUAUUUUCUAAAUAUUGUGAAAUAAAAAAUACAUAGACACUUAAAGUGAAACAUCACGUUAAAAUUAUUAGAGUAACUCUAAAUU